This 497-nucleotide ribosomal RNA is filed under the name uncultured bacterium. RNAcentral describes it as "partial 16S ribosomal RNA". It matches the Rfam family "Bacterial small subunit ribosomal RNA", at positions 28 to 507 of the family's 1533-position model. The record is from RNAcentral.
GAUGAACGCUGGCGGCGUGCUUAACACAUGCAAGUCGAACGAUCAGAGGAGGAGCUUGUUUCUCUCCCGUUAGCGGCGGACGGGUGAGAAAAACGCGGAUAAACUCUCUCUCAGUCUUGGAUAACACCGGGUAAACGUAUCUCUAAUAGGAUAAAAUCUUGAACUGCAUGGUUAUAGAUUUAAGGAAGGUUUUGCUGUCACUUAUAGAUGGAUCCGCGCCGCAUUAGGUCCUUGGUAAGGUAACGGCUUACCAAGGCAACGAUGCGUAGCCGACCUGAGAGGGUGGUCGGCCCCACUGGAACUGAGACACGGUCCAGACUCCUACGGGAGGCAGCAGUAGGGAAUCUUCCGCAAUGGGCGAAAGCUUGACGGAGCAACGCCGCGUGAGUGAUGAAGGUCUUCGGAUCGUAAAACUCUGUUAUUAGGGAAGAACAAAUGUGUAAGUAACUAUGCACGUCUUGACGGUACCUAAUCAGAAAGCCACGGCUAACUACGUG